Acanthosepion pharaonis is the source of this 98-nucleotide non-coding RNA. NCBI's taxonomy places the organism in Eukaryota, Metazoa, Mollusca, Cephalopoda, Sepiida, Sepiidae. The record is from the annotation of a GenBank genome assembly.
GUUGAAACGCCGGUUCUCAUAUGAUCACCGAAGUUAAGCAACGUCGAGCCUGGUCAGUACGUAAAUGGAUGGCUGUUGAGGAAUACUAUGUGCUGUAA